AGGCGAUAAAAUCAUGACAAGGGGGUGAUCCCUCAGAGACCGGUAUAGGCGGAAGCUUAAAGAGGAGGCUACAGAGAGUUGGAGCGGAGCAGGAUCGUCUAAAAAAAAAAAAAAGCCCUUUUUUUGAGAUGCUGGACUUUUUGAAAAGUGUGAUGAACUUAAAAAGUACCACCAGCAACAUUUCUGAAACAGAAGAGGAGGGGGAUGCAGAGGAUACCCAUCAAGCGCCAGAGGAAGAGAUGGGAGUUGUAGAUAACAAGCCAGGUCCCGAAGAAAACCUGUCUUCCCAAUCGGCAGCAACAGCCACGCUUCAAAGACAAUGUGUGCCUGAAAGUAUUCUAUAUAAAAUGCCCCAUUAAGAAAUGUUGACAAAAUAAAAUGUGGUAAUAAAUUUUCCAUCCCUCAGAUUCGUUCUGUUGGAGCUACCGCAUCGAAAGGCAGUAAACGUCGUGGA
This is a long non-coding RNA of Rana temporaria (common frog), 454 nucleotides long. RefSeq lists it as uncharacterized. The transcript has 2 exons. The record is from RefSeq and is a predicted model, not a curated record. NCBI's taxonomy places the organism in Eukaryota, Metazoa, Chordata, Amphibia, Anura, Ranidae.